AGAAAACAUAAAUUAAACAAAAUAUGGUCCGAUCACUCUCUCUCAUCGGCACUACUUCUUUAACAAAAGUGAAGAUUCACUUAAGUGAACGAGUACUCGUUUAAUGAAUUGAGGUUUCUUCAUUAUGAAGUAAUUGCCAGUUCAUCUCUGAUGUCAUGUAUAUCGCCUUGAAUCGUUAAGAGAAUUAGUUCUCGCUUAGUGAAUCUUCUCUUGCAAUUCACCCUUGUCUCUCUGACGUCACUUUAAUCUCUCUUUAGGCUCACUUAAAAAAAUUGCAUGUCCUAAUUUUCCUCAAUAUUUUGACUUGGCUCACUACAUGCUCAUCUCUUGCUUGCUCAGUGAAUUAACUGCCACUCAUAUGCAUUUUUAUUUGAUACUUCAAGCAUUCCUUGAACUUUAAACCUACAAAUAUAAUAGAAAAAAGUCAUAGUAGCUCUGAUGGUACUCAUAACCUAACUGUAUAAUAUGUACAAUGAAUUCAAGGAAUUUCAUGAAAUCUUUUGUAAAACAGGUUAAUAAGUUCCUAAGUAAUACAGUUGAAUUUAGGUAAAUUUGAAACUUAUCAACUACCAAUUCUAGGUGCUACACCUUUGCUUGUGCAUAAUCAACAUGGCAUGUUUGGCGCCAUAAUGCUAGGCCAGGUAGUACAAUUUCUACUAGAAUGCCUACUUAAGCUAAAAUUUGAGAUUUUGCAAGGGGUCUGAAGUUUGGGAGAUAGAUAAUCUCCUUUUUGUAAUCUUGGGAGCUCAAGAUUUGGUGAUUCAAUCUAGGAAACCAGAGUUGGAUUCUACAAUUUUUGUUCUUUAUGUGUAAUUCUUAACACUCUUAUUUUGGUUUGUCAAACAUUAUCAGCAUAUCAUUUUUCCCGAUGUUAGGGAUGAGUAGAGAUCUAUAUGACAAUUCUUGUGUUAUGAUUUAUUUUUGUCUAUCGAAUGAGUUUGAUGAAUUAUUUUUCAUAUUUGUGCUUAAUUCUCUUUAUUGAUU
This 984-nucleotide long non-coding RNA is filed under the name Medicago truncatula (barrel medic). Its description in RNAcentral is "long non-coding RNA (MTRU_LNC002237)". The record is from RNAcentral. Lineage: Eukaryota; Viridiplantae; Streptophyta; Magnoliopsida; Fabales; Fabaceae.